CCUACGGGUGGCUGCAGUGGGGAAUAUUGGACAAUGGGCGAAAGCCUGAUCCAGCCAUGCCGCGUGUGUGAAGAAGGCCUUCGGGUUGUAAAGCACUUUCAGUGGGGAAGAAAGCCUUGGGGCUAAUACCCUCGAUGAAGGACAUCACCCACAGAAGAAGCACCGGCUAACUCCGUGCCAGCAGCCGCGGUAAUACGGAGGGUGCGAGCGUUAAUCGGAAUUACUGGGCGUAAAGCGCGCGUAGGCGGUCUGAUAAGCCGGUUGGGAAAGCCCCGGGCUCAACCUGGGAACGGCAUCCGGAACUGUCAGGCUAGAGUGCAGGAGAGGAAGGUAGAAUUCCCGGUGUAGCGGUGAAAUGCGUAGAGAUCGGGAGGAAUACCAGUGGCGAAGGCGGCCUUCUGGACUGACACUGACGCUGAGGUGCGAAAGCGUGGGUAGCAAACAGGAUUAGAUACCCUAGUAGUC
This 465-nucleotide ribosomal RNA is filed under the name Vreelandella stevensii. Its description in RNAcentral is "partial 16S ribosomal RNA". It matches the Rfam family "Bacterial small subunit ribosomal RNA", at positions 338 to 795 of the family's 1533-position model. Lineage: Bacteria; Pseudomonadati; Pseudomonadota; Gammaproteobacteria; Oceanospirillales; Halomonadaceae. The record is from RNAcentral.